AGUAGCUAUCUCUCGGGGUGGUCAAUUGGUUGUUAUAUCUCCACUAAUAAGCAGAGAGGGGUUAAACCUUUGAAGUAAGUUAUGUGGGUCAAGGUAUAAUGAUUAAUUGGAGUUCUAGUUCAUUUACUUUGAGAAAAUUAGAGUGCUAAAAGCAGGCUCACGCCUAUAUAUAUUGCAUGGAAUAAUGAAAUAAGAUCUCGAUUUUAUUUCGUUGGUUUUAGAAAUUGAGAUAAUGAUUAAUAGGAUCAGAGGGGGGCGUACGUACUGUGGUGUGAGAGGUGAAAUUCUUGGAUCGCCACAGGACGAACAGCAGCGAAGGCGUUCGCCAAGAAUGUUUUCAUUAAUCAAGAACGAAAGUUUUGAGGUUCGAAGACGAUUAGAUACCGUCCUAGUUCAAACCAUAAACGUUGCCAACUGUCUUUUAGAUGCGGUUACUCAUAUGACUCAUCUGGCGGAUCGAGAAAUCUAAGUUUUUAGGUUCCGGGGGGAAGUAUGGUUGCAAAGCUGAAACUUAAAAAGAAUUGACGGAAGGAC
This 534-nucleotide ribosomal RNA is filed under the name uncultured eukaryote. Its description in RNAcentral is "bacterial SSU rRNA". It matches the Rfam family "Eukaryotic small subunit ribosomal RNA", at positions 630 to 1165 of the family's 1831-position model. The record is from RNAcentral.